RNAcentral lists this ribosomal RNA (467 nucleotides) under uncultured bacterium. RNAcentral describes it as "partial 16S ribosomal RNA". It matches the Rfam family "Bacterial small subunit ribosomal RNA", at positions 28 to 506 of the family's 1533-position model. The record is from RNAcentral.
GACGAACGCUGGCGGCGUGCUUAACACAUGCAAGUCGAACGGAAAGGCCCUGCUUUUGUGGGGUGCUCGAGUGGCGAACGGGUGAGUAACACGUGAGUAACCUGCCCUUGACUUUGGGAUAACUUCAGGAAACUGGGGCUAAUACCGGAUAGGAGCUCCUGCUGCAUGGUGGGGGUUGGAAAGUUUCGGCGGUUGGGGAUGGACUCGCGGCUUAUCAGCUUGUUGGUGGGGUAGUGGCUUACCAAGGCUUUGACGGGUAGCCGGCCUGAGAGGGUGACCGGCCACAUUGGGACUGAGAUACGGCCCAGCCUCCUACGGGAGGCAGGGGGGGGGAAUAUUGCACAAUGGGCGGAAGCCUGAUGCAGCAACGCCGCGUGGGGGAUGACGGCCUUCGGGUUGUAAACCGCUUUCGCCUGUGACGAAGCGUGAGUGACGGUAAUGGGGAAAGAAGCACCGGCUAACUACGG